This 256-nucleotide ribosomal RNA is filed under the name uncultured bacterium. RNAcentral describes it as "partial 16S ribosomal RNA". It matches the Rfam family "Bacterial small subunit ribosomal RNA", at positions 524 to 776 of the family's 1533-position model. The record is from RNAcentral.
UACGGGGGGAGCAAGCGUUGUUCGGAUUUACUGGGCGUAAAGGGCGCGUAGGCGGUCGUGACAAGUCACUUGUGAAAUCUCCGGGCUUAACUCGGAACGGUCAAGUGAUACUGUCGGACUAGAGUACAGAAGGGGCAACUGGAAUUCUCGGUGUAGCGGUGAAGAUGCGUAGAUAUCGAGAGGAACACCUGCGGCGAAGGCGGGUUGCUGGGCUGAUACUGACGCUGAGGCGCGAAAGCCAGGGGAGGCGAACGGG